CCUACGGGAGACUGCAGUGGGGAAUAUUGCGCAAUGGGCGAAAGCCUGACGCAGCGACGCCGCGUGAGGGAUGAAGGUCUUCGGAUCGUACACCUCUGUCAGCAGGGAAGAACGGUCACUGUGCUAAUCAGCAGUGAAUUGACGGUACCUGCAAAGGAAGCACCGGCUAACUCCGUGCCAGCAGCCGCGGUAAUACGGAGGGUGCGAGCGUUAAUCGGAAUUACUGGGCGUAAAGCGCUCGUAGGCGGUAUGUCAAGUCAAGGGUGAAAUCCCCGGGCUCAACGUGGGAACUGCCUUUGAAACUGGCAAACUGGAGUGGGUGAGAGGAUAGUGGAAUUCCAGGUGUAGGGGUGAAAGCCGUAGAGAUCUGGAGGAACAUCAGUGGCGAAGGCGACCAUCUGGCACAUAACUGACGCUGAGGAGCGAAAGCGUGGGUAGCAAACAGGAUUAGAUACCCGAGUAGUC
This 465-nucleotide ribosomal RNA is filed under the name uncultured bacterium. RNAcentral's name for it is "partial 16S ribosomal RNA". It matches the Rfam family "Bacterial small subunit ribosomal RNA", at positions 338 to 795 of the family's 1533-position model. The record is from RNAcentral.